UAACGUCCGCAUUUUUAAAUGGAGGAAAAAAAAAAGUCCUCCUUUCUGUCCAAUACCACAUGAAAGUGGUUGGAUUUGGCAUCUCAUUUGUCCAACUUGCAUACUCGUUUUUAAACACUUUGUUAUGAGAGUAGCAUAUGUGUGUGGCCCUUUAAUGUCUGGCUGCAGGUGAGUGACGUCAGUGAGUGUGCGGUUGGGCAAGCAAGUGAGAAAGCGGUCGCUGAGGGCGGGGGAGAAAUACAUUGGCAUCAAACUCCGUAGCUUGCUAGCUUUCUGAGACUCUUAUUUUGUUAGCACAGGCAGGAUGAAACAGGUAUUUUAUGGUGAAAACAGGAACUGUGCAGUCGGUCUUUAGAGUUUUGACAGUAGCUUGCAGCAGCCAGUGUCAUCUCACAAGAUCCUCGGGUGCCGAGAAUGUCAAACAACUGACGAAAGUGAAGUCUUGGUAUGAUUGAUGAUUGCUCAUUUUUAUGUAUAUUUUUUAAUGCCUGGCUUGAGAUCGACUGACACACCCUCCGAGAUCGACCAGUCGAUCGCGAUCGACGUAAUGUGCACCCCUGCUCUAUAGGGUUCAUAUGUUUAUAAAUCUGACUGUGAUGAUGUCAGUGCCUCACCGGCCAUGAACCUCACUGCACGUCACUUGUGUGUGUGUGUGUGUGUGUGUGUGUGUGUGUGUGUGUGUGUGUGUGUGUGUGUGUGUGUGUGUGUGUGUGUGUGUGCAAUCUGAGCGCGCCAAGUACAUUUAAAGUAGUUUUGUUAGUGCGAAAAAAUUCCAUCUGUUCCAUCAAGGUGAAAGAUAAGGCUUUCUAAAAAAAAAAAAAAAAAAACUCCAAAGUACAGCCGGUAAGCACAUAUUACCUUCAGUUGUU
Molecule: long non-coding RNA, 869 nt
Organism: Nerophis ophidion (straightnose pipefish)
Lineage: Eukaryota; Metazoa; Chordata; Actinopteri; Syngnathiformes; Syngnathidae
Exons: 2
Source: RefSeq, a predicted model, not a curated record